RNAcentral lists this ribosomal RNA (460 nucleotides) under uncultured bacterium. RNAcentral's name for it is "bacterial SSU rRNA". It matches the Rfam family "Bacterial small subunit ribosomal RNA", at positions 33 to 507 of the family's 1533-position model. The record is from RNAcentral.
ACGCUGGCGGCGUGCUUAACACAUGCAAGUCGAACGGUGAAGGGGAGCUUGCUUCCCGGAUCAGUGGCGAACGGGUGAGUAACACGUGGGCAAUCUGCCCCAGACUUUGGGAUAACUACUCGAAAGAGUAGCUAAUACCGAAUAUUCAGCCUUGCAGGCAUCUGCGAGGCUGGAAAGUUUCUCGGUCUGGGAUGAGCCCGCGGCCUAUCAGCUAGUUGGUGAGGUAAUGGCUCACCAAGGCGACGACGGGUAGCCGGCCUGAGAGGGCGACCGGCCACACUGGGACUGAGACACGGCCCAGACUCCUACGGGAGGCAGCAGUGGGGAAUAUUGCGCAAUGGCGAAAGCCUGACGCAGCAACGCCGCGUGCGGGAUGAAGGCCUUCGGGUUGUAAACCGCUUUCAGCAGGGAAGAAGCGAAAGUGACGGUACCUGCAGAAGAAGCACCGGCUAACUACGUG